This 444-nucleotide ribosomal RNA is filed under the name uncultured bacterium. Its description in RNAcentral is "SSU rRNA". It matches the Rfam family "Bacterial small subunit ribosomal RNA", at positions 26 to 518 of the family's 1533-position model. The record is from RNAcentral.
AGAGCGAACGCUGGCGGCAGGCCUAAUACAUGCAAGUCGAACGCACCUUCGGGUGGGUGGCGGACGGGUGAGUAACACGUGGGAACGUGCCUUUUGGUUCGGAAUAAUCCGGGGAAACCUGGCCUAAUACCGGAUGUGCCCUUCGGGGGAAAGAUUUAUCGCCAUUAGAGCGGCCCGCGUCUGAUUAGCUUGUUGGUGGGGUAAUGGCCCACCAAGGCUACGAUCAGUAGCUGGUCUGAGAGGAUGAUCAGCCACACUGGGACUGAGACACGGCCCAGACUCCUACGGGAGGCAGCAGUAGGGAAUCUUGCGCAAUGGGCGAAAGCCUGACGCAGCCAUGCCGCGUGAAUGAUGAAGGUCUUAGGAUUGUAAAAUUCUUUCAGCGGGGAAGAUAAUGACUGUACCCGCAGAAGAAGCUCCGGCUAACUUCGUGCCAGCAGCCGC